GGCGGACUUGAAUCGUGUGGUGCAGCGGGCGGCGUGCUGCUGCUUUGUUGUGCGGGCCGGGAUAAAUCUUGAGCUCACUAUCUCAAAUCAUUUCCAAUAAGCCAGCGCCAGGCGCACGCCCUUACCAUAAAUAUGCAAUGCGCCGCCUGUGCUGCUAGUGCUGCCAGCCCUGGGUAUUUUAUCACUGUGUGUGGUUCGAGCUGCUCGCAUCCUUUUGCAUGAUGCGGAUGCUUUCGUUUAUUCGAUCGGCACUCAAACGGACCCACCGAAAACCUGCGCCCGUAUUCCCCAAGUCCCACUCACCCGAGCGAUGUGCGGGACGUUUGCAUAGCCAAAUGAAACUCCCUCUGCACACAAAAAAAAAGAAAAAAAAGAUGAACAAAACUGGGGAGCUAGGCUGCUUUCGAAAUCAAUCUACUUCAUGCAAUUCCCCAGCUGGGGAGAGUUGCCCGUGUGUGGCUCGGGGAAAAAAGAAAAAGAUUAUUUCAUGAAACAUUCAUGCACUUGAUUCGCUUUGCCAAAAUCCUCCAGAAUUUGAUCUGACUGAAAGAGGGAGCUUGUGUAUGAGUGAGAGAGAGAGAAAGAGUAAGAGACUACUCGUUGCAGCAUUGUAGUGUGCGGCUCUACUGCGAUGUGGUUUGUGCCGCUACUGCUGACGACUGCUGUGCAUGGUCGUAAAAUCGUAGCAAGCUAUGGAAACGGUUGAUGAGAAGCAAUUGUCAAUUGACGUGCCCCGGUGGUGUGUUGUGUUUUGCUCCAUCCCGAUUUUGGGAAUGUUUUGCGUCCGCUCUUUGUCUGUGUGUAUGCCAUUUUCUCUAAAGAUCAUCGCUGUAAAAGUACCGAAUCGUUAAGUGUGCAGUCAACAGGAAAGAACAAAACUGAAAGAACCGGGAUAUUGCAGGACAAAAGCAUUACGUGCCCGCAACGCACGUUGCCUGCUGCUAUCGGUUCAUCGCAAGAAACAGAUCGUAAAUCACGGCGCUACUCGCAGCACGGGGCGGAUGUAAAUGAGUGUGCGGCGCCAUCCUUGACACUCGAGUAAUGUGGGCACGACCGUGCCCUCUAUCCCGCAUUUGCUCAAACGGUAGAAAAAAUAAUACUAUGAAAGCGCUUGCUUGAAGCUUUAAUAUUGCCUCCGUGCACGUCAUCGCCCGGUGCCUGUGACAGCAGCUUCCGGCAGAUGGAUACGCACCCGUCAAUCAGUCACUUCGGCCUGCGUCUGCUCGUAUUCGGGCCGUUAUAUAGUACCUACGGGGCUGCUUCACUGCGAACCUUCCCUGCUGCUUCCCUUAUUUCCUUAUGUCAACAGCUGGCAACAGAAUAUCACUCCAGAGCAGGCCAAAGUCAAACACGUGCCAAAAGAUAUGCGGCCUUUGACGGGAUGCAUCGUAUGUCCUUUUGAUGGAUGUUUAUGCUAAGAGGCACCUUCGUCAAGGAUGUCGAAGGCAACAACACAAAAACCAUUCGCCUGUCGCCUUCCACCCUCUGCUGCCUUUUCCUUGGGCACAUAAGCGCAAAUACAUAUCGCGAGGUAGAGCCAAACAUGUAAAUAAGAAAGCUAUUCCGAGCUCUUUGCCUUUUUUGAAACAUUCUUUUCUUGGAAUGCGACCUUGAACGGAAACAUUUUCCAUUCUGGACAGAUUGCUGGUCGCAUGAGCAAUGCGGAAAUGUGAAGCUGUUUAAAGCCUACAUAACAUGCUGAUGCCUUUUUGUACCACCUAUAAGGGACCAGGUAGUUUGGCAGCGUUUUGGUGAAAGGUUGUUAUCAGUCUCACCAUUGUUCGGUGCAAAUCAACAAGA
This is a long non-coding RNA of Anopheles gambiae (African malaria mosquito), 1800 nucleotides long. RefSeq lists it as uncharacterized. Lineage: Eukaryota; Metazoa; Arthropoda; Insecta; Diptera; Culicidae. The record is from RefSeq and is a predicted model, not a curated record. The transcript has 3 exons.